This 206-nucleotide ribosomal RNA is filed under the name uncultured bacterium. RNAcentral's name for it is "partial 16S ribosomal RNA". It matches the Rfam family "Bacterial small subunit ribosomal RNA", at positions 568 to 775 of the family's 1533-position model. The record is from RNAcentral.
UGCGUAGGUGGCGGGGUAAGUCAGGUGUGAAAUUUCGGAGCUUAACUCCGAAACUGCAUUUGAUACUGCCUUGCUUGAGGACUGGAGAGGAGACUGGAAUUCACGGUGUAGCAGUGAAAUGCGUAGAUAUCGUGAGGAAGACCAGUGGCGAAGGCGGGUCUCUGGACAGUUCCUGACACUGAGGACAAGGCCAGGGGAGCGAAACG